Molecule: long non-coding RNA, 2934 nt
Filed under: Podarcis lilfordi (Lilford's wall lizard)
Lineage: Eukaryota; Metazoa; Chordata; Lepidosauria; Squamata; Lacertidae
Source: RNAcentral
GGAGUGAGGCGAGUGGAGGACAGAGGAGUUGGUGGCAGUUGGCAGAUUAGGAGAGCUGUUGAGUUGAUUAUUUUCUCAGUUUCUUAUUUUGAUUUCAUUUAUUUGAUUGAUUUGAUUCAUUUUGAUUUAUUAUUUUAGUUUUUUGUUUUAACACUUAAAUUUUAAUUUUUUGUUCUUUAUUUUAAUAUUUUUUAUUUUAGAUGUUUAUGUUGUGCACAUUUGUGCACAUUUUGUAUAUAUUUGGUAUACAUUUUGUACAUAGAGGGGUAGUAAGGGCUAGGUGUCGGGUUGGGGUUAGGCUUAGGGCUGGGGUUGGGGUCAGAGUUAGGCUUGGAUGGGCAUUUUAGAUAGCUAGUUUAGAGAGGAGGGUGGGAUUUUUUCCUGGACAAAAUGGGCAGGCUGUAAGUAGGAUUCCUCCCCUUUCUCUUGCUCCCCUGGGGGGGUGAGUCCUGGGGUCCCCUGCACAGUCUUGGCUCUCUGGAAAUUGACCCAGUCCGUCUUCUCCAGAGAGCUCAGCUCCUCCCCACUCUUUCCCUGCCUUCCCCUUUUCUCUCCCCUCUCAUCAUCCGCUUUUAUUAGGACAUUCCUAGCCCACUUUCCUCCCAGGAGCUCAAAGUGGCCUUCAUGGUUCUCCCUGCCACCAAUUUUUAUCUUCCCAGCAGCCCUGCAAAGUAGGCUAGGCUGGCCCAAGGUCCACCAGGGAGCUUCAUGGCUGAGUGGGGAUUUGAACCCUGCUCUCCCAGGUCCUCCUAGUCCAGCCCUCCAACCGCUACACCUCUGCCUGGCUCCAUCUUGCAUCUCUCCAUCUGCCCAAUGCCAUUGGCCUUCUCCCCCUUCAUGGGGGUCUCUCUGGUUCCAAGGAAGACUCCACCACCUUCCUCUCUUUGCCCCCCACACAGACACAAACACACCCCACCCACUGGGGCUCCUGAGUCGCUCUCUCCCUGCUGCUCCUCUCUAUAAUAAUAAUAAUAAUUUAUUAUUUAUAUCCUGCCCAUCUGACUGGGUUUUCCCAGCCACUCUGGACGGCUUCCAACAGAAUAUUAAAAUACAACAGUCUAUUAAACAUUAAAAGCUUCCCUAAACAGGGCUGCCUUCAGAUGUCUUCUAAAAUGUCGGAGCCAGCUUUAUGACUCCCACACUAAAAGUCUGGUAAUUGUUUUUCUCUUUGACAUCUGGUGGGAGGGUGUUCCACAGGGCGGGUGCCACCACCGAGAAGGCCCUCUGCCUGGUUCCCUGUAACCUGGCUUCUCGCAGCGAGGGAACCGCCAGAAGGCCCUCAGAGGCAGCGUCUAACCCCUUCUUUCUCUCUCGCCAGCAUCGUGAGUCCAACUCCCUGAAAUGCAAGAAUCUUGGACUACAACUCCCAUCAGCAGAGCUGGAAACUAGCAUCCAGAACAUCUGGAGGCGCACCAGGCUGAGAAAGGCUAAGCUAUGCGAAGGCAGGGGUCAGCAACAUGCAGCCCAUAGGCCGGAUGUGGCCCACCAAGACUGUUUUACCAGCCCCACGAGCUGCCUGCAAACCAAGCUCAGCAAGUCCUCCAUGUGCUGCGCUAAAGUAGCGCAUCGCAGCGCGGGGACUCACAUAGUGGCGCCGGAAAUGGCGUCUGCGCAUGCACAGAUACCAGAAAUGGCGUCUGCGCAUGUCCAGACGCCGGAAAUUGCUUCUGCGCAGGCGCGAUUUUCAGCGUCUGGGCAUGUGCAGAAGCGAUUUCUGGCAUCGUGCUGCGCCAGUCCAGCCCACAAUCUCCGUGGGAGUGAUCCUGGCUGUCAGAUGCUGUUGUGGUUGCUCGAGAGCAAACAGGCGAGACUCCAACCUCUCUUUUCCAGGCUUUAUUAUCAAUACAAACUACCGUAUUUUUCGCUCUAUAACACGCACCCGACCAUAACAUGCACGUAGUUUUUAGAGGAGGAAAAUCCGUAGGCAUGCCACCCGUAAGCAUUCCCUCCAUAACACGCACAGACAUUUCCCCUUACUUUUUAGGAGGAAAAAAGUGAGUGUUAUGGUGCAAAAAAUACGGUAUUUACAGCGCAGAACGUCGCAAGUCCAUGCCUGCUCAGUCGCUAGCAGAAUCUGGGCGCGGCUGGUCUUUGUUCCUCCCCCAGCAUAACAGUUGUCUGACCCCCAUCCUUCUCCUCCCCUCUAUGCGCCCAGACCUCCUGCGCAGAGUGGGUGCUGGCAAAGGGGGACUUCCCUCCUCUCCGGUUUGCUUAGGUUCAGUGUUGGGGCGCUCCCUAGCAUCCCCUGGUCGCUGCACCUCCUCUCCACUAGAGGUGGGGCUUUCCUCCUCGCCAGAGGAGGAACAGCUUCCCAAGAUCUUCCGAGGCUCCCUGUAACGCAACUGCCCUUCCACCUCUCUCCUCUGAGCUGAUGGCAGUUCCCUGACACUGCCCAUGGCCGGUAAAGCUUGUGGCCCCUUUGCUAAGGCAACAACUUAUUGCAGCGCUUAAGCGAAACCUGCAACGCUGGCAGAGGAAGGACGGUUGAGAAUAAUUGGACCCAACCGCAGAGCCCACAUCCCUGCUGAGUUUUGAGCUAAUAGUCAGCAGAUAGCCUGGAGCGGAUAAAAAACCCUGCUAAAACUUCCGCACUCCUUGCCUACGGGAGCGACUUUAAUUAUUGUUAUAAAUUCGCUUUAAGGGUGGGGAGGGGAGCUCAGCACUUCGCUUAAUUCCAAGCCGUGCAAAAGGCUGGCAUGUUUAGAGGCUUGCCUGCCCUUCCUUAGCAGAAGAUAGCACACACACACAUCCCGCUUUGUAAUCAACUGGUUAUGUCGCAGGGUUAACCUAAUUCCUUCUGACGAUUUCACUUGGCAAGUCCCGUCAGCGCACAAAAUGGGUGGGGGGAAGCUUUAGAUAGCGAGACUGCUUGCCUGGAAUAGAGGGCUUAAGUAUUUAAGAGUUGCCAAGUGGUUAUUAAACAACUUUAUUAUC